Molecule: non-coding RNA, 85 nt
Organism: Acetobacterium wieringae
Lineage: Bacteria; Bacillati; Bacillota; Clostridia; Eubacteriales; Eubacteriaceae
Source: Rfam
ACGUAAUAUUGGCAUACUUAUUGAAAAGUAAGGACGCAAAACUACAGGGUCUAAAUACGGUGGUACAUGACAGCCAGUUGCAAUU